UACGAAGGUGACAAGCGUUGUUCGGAAUUAUUGGGCGUAAAGCGCACGUAGGCGGGUUUGUAAGUCGAUUGUGAAAGCCCUAGGCUCAACCUGGGAAUUGCAGUCGAAACUACAAGUCUUGAAUGCUCGAGAGGAUGGUGGAAUUCCAGGAGUAGUAGUGAAAUACGUAGAUAUCUGGAGGAACACCGGAGGCGAAAGCGGCCAUCUGGCGAGACAUUGACGCUAAGGUGCGAAAGCGUGGGGAUCAAAC
Molecule: ribosomal RNA, 250 nt
Filed under: uncultured bacterium
Lineage: Bacteria
Description: partial 16S ribosomal RNA
Rfam family: Bacterial small subunit ribosomal RNA
Source: RNAcentral